GCGACCACCGAGAUCUACACUCUUUCCCUACACGACGCUCUUCCGAUCUGUUCUGUAAGCGGUUGAAGGUGUACCGGGAGGUAUGCUGGACGUAUCAGAAGUGCGAAUGCUGACAUGAGUAACGAUAAUGCGGGUGAAAAACCCGCACGCCGGAAGACCAAGGGUUCCUAUCCCAUGUUAAUCAGGGUAGGGUAAGUCGACCCCUAAGGCGAGGCCGAAAGGCGUAGUCGAUGGGAAACGGAUUAAUAUUUCCGUACUUGGUAUAAUUGCGAUGGGGGGACGGAGAAGGCUAAGCAAGCAUGGCGAUGGUUGUCCAUGUGAAAGUGAGUAGGGCGUUUGUUUAGGUAAAUCCGGACGAACAUUAAACCUGAGACACGAGACGAGCUACUACGGUAGUGAAGUUGCUGAUGCCAUACUUCCAGGAAAAGCCUCUAAGCUUCAGAUUAUACCGAAUCGUACCCCAAACCGACACAGGUGGUCAGGUAGAGAAUACUAAGGCGCUUGAGAGAACUCGGGUGAAGGAACUAGGCAAAAUCGUACCGUAACUUCGGGAGAAGGUACGCUCCUAUCUGUGAUGAGACUUGCUCUCUAAGCGGACGGGAGCCGCAGUGACCAGGUGGCUGGGACUGUUUAUUAAAAACACAGCACUGUGCAAAAUCGCAAGAUGACGUAUACGGUGUGACACCUGCCCGGUGCCGGAAGGUUAAUUGAUGGGGUUAUCUUCGGAGAAGCUCUUGAUCGAAGCCCCGGUAAACGGCGGCCGUAACUAUAACGGUCCUAAGGUAGCGAAAUUCCUUGUCGGGUAAGUUCCGACCUGCACGAAUGGUGUAACCAUGGCCACGCUGUCUCCACCCGAGACUCAGUGAAAUUGAAAUCGCAGUGAAGAUGCUGUGUACCCGCGGCUAGACGGAAAGACCCCGUGAACCUUUACUACAGCUUGGCACUGAACAUUGAACCUACAUGUGUAGGAUAGGUGGGAGACUUUGAAGAUGAGACGCUAGUCUUGUUGGAGUCGUCCUUGAAAUACCACCCUUGUAGUUUUGAUGUUCUAACGUUGGCCCCUGAAUCGGGGUUACGGACAGUGCCUGGUGGGUAGUUUGACUGGGGCGGUCUCCUCCCAAAGAGUAACGGAGGAGCACGAAGGUUGGCUAAGUACGGUCGGACAUCGUACGGUUAGUGUAAUGGUAGAAGCCAGCUUAACUGCGAGACAGACACGUCGAGCAGGUACGAAAGUAGGUCAUAGUGAUCCGGUGGUUCUGAAUGGAAGGGCCAUCGCUCAACGGAUAAAAGGUACUCCGGGGAUAACAGGCUGAUACCGCCCAAGAGUUCAUAUCGACGGCGGUGUUUGGCACCUCGAUGUCGGCUCAUCACAUCCUGGGGCUGAAGUCGGUCCCAAGGGUAUGGCUGUUCGCCAUUUAAAGUGGUACGCGAGCUGGGUUUAG
RNAcentral lists this ribosomal RNA (1442 nucleotides) under seawater metagenome. Its description in RNAcentral is "bacterial LSU rRNA". It matches the Rfam family "Bacterial large subunit ribosomal RNA", at positions 1212 to 2614 of the family's 2925-position model. The record is from RNAcentral.